Molecule: non-coding RNA, 99 nt
Organism: Acanthosepion pharaonis
Lineage: Eukaryota; Metazoa; Mollusca; Cephalopoda; Sepiida; Sepiidae
Source: the annotation of a GenBank genome assembly
GUUGAAACACCAGUUCCCACACAAUCACUGAAGUUAAGCAAUGUAGAGUAUGGUUAGUACCUAGAUGGGUAACUGCUUGGGAAUACCAAGUGCUGUAAG